Molecule: ribosomal RNA, 253 nt
Filed under: uncultured bacterium
Lineage: Bacteria
Description: partial 16S ribosomal RNA
Rfam family: Bacterial small subunit ribosomal RNA
Source: RNAcentral
GACGAACCGAGCGAACGUUGUUCGGAAUCACUGGGCUUAAAGGGCGCGUAGGCGGGCAUUCAAGUCCGGGGUGAAAUCCUCCAGCUCAACUGGAGAACUGCCUCGGAUACUGGGUGUCUCGAGGGUGGUAGGGGUAUGCGGAACUAUCGGUGGAGCGGUGAAAUGCGUUGAUAUCGAUAGGAACUCCGGUGGCGAAGGCGGCAUACUGGACCACAUCUGACGCUGAGGCGCGAAAGCCAGGGGAGCGAACGGG